GAUGAACGCUGGCGGCGUGCCUAAUACAUGCGAGUCGGGCGAACAGACGAGGAGCUUGCUCCUCUGACGUUAGCGGCGGACGGGUGAGUAACACGUGGAUAACCUACCUAUAAGACUGGGAUAACUUCGGGAAACCGGAGCUAAUACCGGAUAAUAUAUUGAACCGCAUGGUUCAAUAGUGAAAGACGGUUUUGCUGUCACUUAUAGAUGGAUCCGCGCCGCAUUAGCUAGUUGGUAAGGUAACGGCUUACCAAGGCAACGAUGCGUAGCCGACCUGAGAGGGUGAUCGGCCACACUGGAACUGAGACACGGUCCAGACUCCUACGGGAGGCAGCAGUAGGGAAUCUUCCGCAAUGGGCGAAAGCCUGACGGAGCAACGCCGCGUGAGUGAUGAAGGUCUUCGGAUCGUAAAACUCUGUUAUUAGGGAAGAACAAAUGUGUAAGUAACUAUGCACGUCUUGACGGUACCUAAUCAGAAAGCCACGGCUAACUACGUG
Molecule: ribosomal RNA, 497 nt
Filed under: uncultured bacterium
Lineage: Bacteria
Description: partial 16S ribosomal RNA
Rfam family: Bacterial small subunit ribosomal RNA
Source: RNAcentral